This 226-nucleotide unclassified non-coding RNA is filed under the name Glomeraceae sp. RNAcentral's name for it is "partial contains 5.8S ribosomal RNA and internal transcribed spacer 2". The stretch from base 1 to 72 matches the Rfam family "5.8S ribosomal RNA", at positions 84 to 154 of the family's 154-position model. The record is from RNAcentral. Lineage: Eukaryota; Fungi; Glomeromycota; Glomeromycetes; Glomerales; Glomeraceae.
GUGAAUCAUCGAAUCUUUGAACGCAAAUUGCACUCUCCGGUUUUCCGGGAGAGUAUGCUUGUUUGAGGGUCAGCCUAAAAAAAAUCGACAUUGUUGCUGUUAUUUAAUGGUGACUUUCGUCGGAGAUUGGGUUAUCUUAAACAUUUUUUUUUUUUUGGUUUAAGGGAAUUAAAAUUUUUUUUCAGGAUUUCAUGAGAGGUUUUAAGAUUUUUAUUUUUUUUACGGU